UACGUAGGGUGCGAGCGUUAAUCGGAAUUACUGGGCGUAAAGCGUGCGCAGGCGGUUUGCUAAGACCGAUGUGAAAUCCCCGGGCUUAACCUGGGAACUGCAUUGGUGACUGGCAGGCUAGAGUAUGGCAGAGGGGGGGUAGAAUUCCACGUGUAGCAGUGAAAUGCGUAGAGAUGUGGAGGAAUACCGAUGGCGAAGGCAGCCCCCUGGGCCCAAUACUGACGCUCAUGCACGAAAGCGUGGGGAGCAAACAGG
RNAcentral lists this ribosomal RNA (255 nucleotides) under uncultured bacterium. RNAcentral describes it as "partial 16S ribosomal RNA". It matches the Rfam family "Bacterial small subunit ribosomal RNA", at positions 524 to 776 of the family's 1533-position model. The record is from RNAcentral.